Hypanus sabinus (Atlantic stingray) is the source of this 2556-nucleotide long non-coding RNA. RefSeq lists it as uncharacterized. The transcript is spliced from 3 exons. The record is from RefSeq and is a predicted model, not a curated record. NCBI's taxonomy places the organism in Eukaryota, Metazoa, Chordata, Chondrichthyes, Myliobatiformes, Dasyatidae.
ACACAACCUUCCCUGCUGCAGUAACAAUCAUUUUGCCCACAUUAAGCAACACUGGAAUAUUAUGAUCCCCACAAAUACCCCCAUUUUCUAAAUCAUAUCCCAAACAAUUCCAAGUUUGAUAUCCCUUCCAAUAUUAUCUCCAUAGAACCUCCAGUAAAUCACCUCCUUCCUCAGCACGGCCUUUGCCCUUUUAUUGUUAAUAAUGUCACUCGGAGACUGAUGCACCAUCACAUAAAAACUCACAUUUCUCCCAAUUUGCUUCCUGUCCCGUUAUAAAUCCAAAUCCAAACUCAUAAAGACAGGAAGGCUGACUGACGUUCACAUAAACUAAUCACCCUCUGUGUUCCCAUUUGAGCGACAGGCACUGCAGCCAAUGACAGCAGGGGUCAGUGUGAAGUCUGAGCUACGAUAGGCUGGAGGAAAUCGGCCCAUGAUCAGCCCCUCCUUUUCCGCUCCAUCGCCAUGGCGGAGAUCAGCGAGUCGCUUCUGUCGGUGUCGCCGGCCUCGGCGCCCACAAGGACGGGUGUGAUUCCCCUUCGCGCCCCGGUGGGUCUGUUUCGGUGCCGUCUGUGGUGGCUGACGAAACAUGCUUUGACAGAGAGCGAGCGAGGAACAAUGACUACAACUCCCAGAAGGCCCCACUGAUGACGUUGUGGUGUUGUUUCGGGCUUUCCACCACAGAUGUAAGGCUCAAUGGUCUAUAAUUAUCGGGACUAUCCCUACUACCCUUUUUGAACAAGGGGACAACAUUCGCCUCCCUCCAAUACUCCGGUACAAUUUCCGUGGACAAUGAGGACAUAAUGAUCUUCGCCAGAGGCUCAGCAAUCUAUUUCCUUGCCUCGGAUGCAGAACUGGGAAGCGCAGAUGGAGUUCAACACAGAUGAAGGGGUUCAUUUCUGCAGGUCAAAUUUGAACACAGAAUAUAAUAUUAAUGUGAUCUUACUCCUGACGCCAGUCCCAGGACCCAACCCAUUUACAGACCCGGAGCAUAACGGGAGCAGAUCCUCAGCCACUGGUUUUCAUCCCCAGUCGCAAAGUAAGGAUAAAGUUUCCGUGUGAAUUUAUUCCCAGUGAAGGUGUGGAGAUGGGACUUGGUUUCCGCGUUGUAAAAUGAAACUGUCCCGGACUCGUAACUGAGAUAAACUCCCACCCUCCCGGGGAUGGGACCGGCAGCGAGACGGGUCUCGGGGGAGGUACAAACCUUCAUCAUGUUAUUAUUCCGAAGUAACACGUCAUAAUACCGCCCAAUGACCCUGAAUCCUGUCUCCGGACUCAGUCCGACUCCUCUCUUCCCCUCCAACGACCCUGCGGUGACUCCUAAAUAACAGUCCCGAUUCCCCGUCACCUCCACCUCCCAGUCAUGUCUCCCAGCACACAACCCUGAUUUGUGAAUCUCUUCCCGGUGUCAGGGAGCUCUCUCCGGGUCCGGGUACAUCUCACACUCUUCCGAUCCUCAGACACCUCGAGAUCCGGAUUCGCCAUUUCCACAUCCAGGGUGACAGAGACUGGGGGGAGAAGCAGAGAAUUAGAGAGUCCCCGGGGAUCGGGGGGAGACUCGGGCAGCGCGUUUCCGGGGAUCGGGGAGAGACUCAGGCAGCGCGUCCCCGGGGAUCGGGGAGAGACUCAGGCAGCACUGCCCCAGAGAUUGGGGGAAUACUCGGGCAAAGUGUCCCCAGGACCAGUGGAAAGCCCGUGGGCCUUCGGCGCAGUCGGGUUGCCGAUCGGCAACCUUUCCCAGGGAAGCAUGUGGGCAACUAAUAUCUCUCCAAUAUCUUUCUGCUGGAUGGAGAGCAGAGAUUUCCUGAUCAAACAGACACAAAAUCCUGGAGGAACCGAGCGCGUCAGGCAGCAUGUGUGGAGAGAGAUGGACAGUCCACGUUUCAGGUCGACAUCUUCCCUCAAGAGCAGAAAUGAAUAGGGGAGAGAGACAGCAGAAAUGAGUGUGGGAAAGGGGUGGAUUAAGAUGGGAAGGGGGUGAGUGAAUGGAUUUAAACAGGUCGCAGAGGCUCUUCGGCCCAACUUGUUUGUGCCGACCAGCUUGCUUUAAUGAGCUGGUCCCAUUUGCCCAUUAUUCCUUUCCACCUUUGUUAUCCACGUCCCUGGCAAGAUGUAUUUUAAAACAUUGUCACUGUACCCAAUUCUACAGCUGAUCAAGAGCCCGGUGUACUAUACCAUGAAUUUUAGUGUCACCCACAAACCUACUAACUGUGUCAGCAACGUUCUGAUACAAAUCAUUAACAUGAAUGACAAACAACCCGUCCCCAGCACCGACCUCUGCAGGUCACAGGCCUCCAGUCCUCUGUGUUUAAGACACUUGGACAGACACUUCAACAGGCAAGGCAUGAGAGAGACUGACCUAAUGUUGGCCAAUGGGAUGAAUGUAGAUGGGUAAAUAGGUCAGCACGGAGGUGAUGGGUCAAAGGGAACAUUUCUAUGCUGUACGCAACGCCAUGCUGAUAAUUCCAAAUGGACAGUGACCCCUGACCUUUAACUCCUCAGACAGGGGAAACAUCCUCCCUGUAUCCUGCCUGUUGAUCCCUGAGAGAAUUUUGUAUU